GUGUUAGAAGCUGGUAAAACAUCCUCUUUCCCCUACAUCAAAGUGGAAACAAAAUAAUUUGGAGUUCAUGUAAUGAAAACCUCAAUUUCAGGGAUCUAAAGGCCCUUUUAAGAAAAAUCACAAGGAAGGAGGUAAUCUGGUCUCAGAUUCUGGAAUGCAGGCAGCUUGAGGAGGAGAAUCAGUGUUUUGGUGAUACCUGGAAUAAAAUGAAAGUGAAGAGCUAGCAGUACUUUGUACCAUGACACUUCCUGGGCACAUACCAUGGGCCAGCACCACACUAAACACGUUAUUGGGACAUCUCAAUUACCAGUGGGCACAAUUUAUAAGGAGAGAAGAAUCUUGGGCUUGCAGAAGUUGUUUGUUAUUAUACACCUUCACGCUUUGCUCUUUUCACUUUAUGGUAUAUAAUAGUGACUUCUCUGCUGUGCACCACACCUAGUUCUAAGUGCUUCAUGCAUAUUAACUCAUUUAAUGCUCUCAUCAAUACUGCGAGGCAAGUUGUGUUAUUAUCUCUACUUUAUAAAUGAUUAUAUUGAGACACAGAGAGGUUAAGUGAUUGUCCAAGAUCACACAGCUAGUAAGAACCAGAUUUCAGACUUGGGCAGUCUGGCUCCAGAGUCUGUGUUCUUAUUCUCUACUCUAAGCUGCCUUUCUGAUAUUAUAUAUUACAUAUUACAUAUAAAGAAAAUAUAUCAUGAAUGUAUAAUGCAGAUCACAUAUUAAAAAAUCAAUUGUCUUUUAUAUUAUGUGAAUUAUAUACCUUCUGUAUGGAAUGUUAAAUGCCUACCCUGUCAGUACAUAGAGGGCUGUCUCACUUUUUAAACAUCUGUUUAAACAUCUGUGUAGUACUCUGUUAUGCCAGUGUUGUGUAAUUUAUCUAACCAGUCUCCUAUUGAUGAACAUUUUGGUUGUUUCCAAACCUUUUGCUAUAAUAACAAU
RNAcentral lists this long non-coding RNA (939 nucleotides) under Homo sapiens (human). RNAcentral's name for it is "HSALNT0163274". The record is from RNAcentral. Lineage: Eukaryota; Metazoa; Chordata; Mammalia; Primates; Hominidae.